Parelaphostrongylus tenuis is the source of this 81-nucleotide non-coding RNA. Lineage: Eukaryota; Metazoa; Nematoda; Chromadorea; Rhabditida; Metastrongylidae. The record is from the annotation of a GenBank genome assembly.
GCAUCGGUGGUUCGGUGAACUUGGUGGUAGACUGCUCGCCUGCCACGCGGGCGACCAGGGUUCGAUUCCCGAGCCGAUGCA